RNAcentral lists this ribosomal RNA (207 nucleotides) under uncultured bacterium. RNAcentral describes it as "partial 16S ribosomal RNA". It matches the Rfam family "Bacterial small subunit ribosomal RNA", at positions 524 to 730 of the family's 1533-position model. The record is from RNAcentral.
UACAGAGGGUGCGAGCGUUAAUCGGAAUUACUGGGCGUAAAGCGCGCGUAGGCGGCUUUGCAAGUCGGGUGUGAAAUCCCCAGGCUUAACCUGGGAACUGCAUUCGAGACUGCAUUGCUAGAGUAUGGGAGAGGGAAGUGGAAUUUCCGGUGUAGCGGUGAAAUGCGUAGAUAUCGGAAGGAACAUCAGUGGCGAAAGCGACUUCCU